AGUCUUCACCUCGCCCCUCCCUUGCUUGGUCGCUUGGCUGGCCCGGCUCACCUUCGGGGUGACGGCUACCAGAGAGCAUUAUAGCAGACGACUUUAAUAAAUGCAGGCGGCAGGAGGAACUCUGGAAACUUGGGUGCCCUUGCCUGGCAGUAACGGUUGAAUUAUCCGGAUCUGAAAUACUUUUCAGAGCCGAGGGGUGAUACGCUCUCCAAAAGCACUUUUUGCUUCUCUCCCUUAUGCCGAUACUUGCUGACUGUGCACACAAGUCAUAUUCAGUAUUAAAUACAAACCGGUCUGUAAUUCAAUGGCUCUAGCAAGACGCCUCUGAGAGGGCCAGGUGGCGGGUGCAAGUUGCUCAUUAACCCUUUAGAGUCGCAGUUUGCAGAUCUGAGUUAGAUCCCUGGCUUUAAGGUCCUUCAGUUGCCCUCUUCCCCCACCUCCCCCCGCCACUGCGAGAAAAAUGUGCAAAGAGAAGGAAAUUUGCACAUCAAACGAGGGGCAAUCGCGGCAGUAGAUGAACUUGAUUAGGCAGACGCAUGAGAUCAAAGUGGCCGGGACCAAAGUGGACAGGGUCCAACGUGCCGGCACUGCCAAGGGAAGGCCUUCUGUACUCAGGUUAAAUAAGAACAUCCUGCAAGGAGUCUGUUCUUUUAUGCAGCCUAAAGAUCAAGUAAUAAUCAUUGACAUUGAUAGUGAGUAUGUCGAUUUUGAAGAGACUGGCAUGAACCUUGAAGAAUCAUGUUCUUCCUAGGAAUUACAAAUCCCUCGAUUCCAUGUCUAACAUAAUUUCUACUGGCCUCUUUGCUUCUCAUGCUUUAGUACCAGUGCUUCUGAAUUUGAAAGUCUUCAUGCAAAUUGCCCAACUGAGAGGGCAGCCACUGUUGAGGAAAUGAUGAUCACAACAUCACAGGGAAAGGAGAAUGUAAUAAAGCAAGAACUGGCUCUUAAAACUUCCGUUUGCAGUGACAAGGCUCACCUUUCAAUGGCCAAAGCAAGUUGAAAAGCCAAACCUGACUUACAUGGCACAGAAAAGUACCCCGGGGAGGGAAAUCAGACAUUGAUGAACUGUGGCCAAAAUCCAGCUGAGCCAGAAGCUCAGGUCACCAGUAUCAUUUCUCCCCAGAGGACUGAGUCCUCCUGCAAAUUCACUCCUAGUAUCCUGCCCCGAUGUACCAGAUGCCAGAGGUCUGUUGAAAACUUGCCUCGUAAAUGAUUUGCAUAUACAAGAACUCAGAGAAAGCAUCCUGUUUUGUUGAGAGGUGCACCAAGUGACUUUUUCAUCAUUGGUUUCAUAACGAGGUGUGGUUAGCAGUCAUUUCCAAUUUUUCUUUUGGGUUGGACCAUUGUCAAUGGAGUCUAUAAAAUGAGAUAUGUUAGAACUUGACUGCACUAAUUUAUUUUUACAGAAUCUGCACAGCUUAGCAAAACAGGAAUACCUGUAUACAGACUGAUAGAAUGUCAUAUAUUAAUUUGACCUGCACAUACAUGUAUACAUUUCACAGAAAUGACGCUGUAUCUCAUUAACAGAUACACAGCUCUGGUACAUUUAACAGAAAUAAGAGAACAACUUCAUCAUUUCUGUAAUUCAUCAAUAUUAUAUAAUAAAGGCUUAUAAAUUGUUAGCAGAAAGAACUGUAAAACGCAGCAAGCUAAGAAAGGACAACAUUUUGAGGUGUGUUUGUCUUUGUCAUGCAGCAUAACACCAAAUUUGUUUUUUUAAUAGGAUGCCAUGAAUUUAAGGCACUUGCAACAAUGCCAGAUAGCCAGGUCAUGUUCUAAACUAUGGGACAGAUGAAUAACAGUACAGUCGACAUAAUUUUCAAUAAUACUGACAAUUAUGACAUUAAUUCAAGUCUACUUGGACCUAAAAACAUUAUUCAAUACAAAUAAAAUGAAAUAAUAAUGCUGUGAAACACUAAAAAAAGUUCUAUGUACCACAAAAUAUCACACAAAAAUAUCUAUUUACAUAAAUAUUUGUCUGUGGUCCUAUUGUGAAAGAAAACGUUGUUAUGGAUAAUGCACAGAUCACCUCUAUUGUAUGAAAUCAGUUCUAAUAUCCUUAUUUUCAAUAUGGUAGUUGACUUCAUUAAAUUUGUUUACCAUCAGUUCAGUCAUUUAGAAAUGAAACAGGAAAAAUUCAAUAGUUGAGUUUAUUACUACACAUGUGUAAUUCACAUGUGUAUUCUACAAUUUUAGGUAAAAAUUAUGACUUGUAAAGAAUAUAAUCAAAAUAUAUUUGUUUUGAAUGCCACAUAGAUCUGAUUCAUGUCUUAAUAAGAAAGAAGAUAUAAACAUAAAAAGCAGGUAUAGUGUUUUUCCAGAAAUUAUUUUUUCGAAUAUAUUCAAUGUAUCUUAGUUGUUUUAAUGUUGCUUCCCUUGGCAGUUUCAGUUUUCCUGUGAGUCAAGACACACAGAAAGCCCUUAUUUCCCAUACUCAACACAUUAACAAGAAAAUCAUAUAACAAAUCAAACAAGUUGGCACUAUUCUAACUUAUCCAGAUGUUCUUUAGUGUAAGAAAAUAGAGGGGCUGUGAAAAAUUCAGAAAUAAAGUGAGAUGCAUUUUAUGGAACUGACCAUGAAUUUUAGCCCUAGAGUCUUCAUUAAGACAAGAUUUAAAUCCUAAAAAUUCAACGUUGACAAAAUUAGAUGAACGUUUUCUGUUGGUACAUCUUGGAAGAUGUAGUUUACCUUUAUUUUGUGGUGAUUGCUUCAGACAUCAAAUGCAAUGCUAUGGGUGAAAUGAACAAAGAUGCGUAACAAGUGGGAGAAACAAUCUACAGUUACAUUGUGCUGAAUGCUACUUCUUCCUUCUCCAUUGAACUUAUUCAUAUUGGUUGUCUUAGACUUGAACCACAGUUCCAAAAUCCAUAGUAAGUGCUAAGCUCUGGGACUUUGGGGAUUUUUAAAACGUUAUAGGAGCAGAUUCUCCUUCCAAAUAACAAGGUAAAUUUAGUAUUCUAGCAAGUCUUUAGCAAGCCUAAACCACAUUGUCUUUCAACAAAAAUUACUGAACAUUCACUAUAAUGUUGGAAUUAUAUAUUUUUAAAUACCCAAUUAAAAAUAUAAAACUCUUGAAAUAACAUUCAUAGCUAGAUUUUAGGUUGAUAUGUUUAAUUUUAUAUUCUAAAAUCUGUAGAAAACAGUGGAUAUCUUGGGGAAUAGACCAAUUUGGAGAAACUGUAAGGGAGGGAAAACUCCAAAAAUACAAGAAUAACAAUAUUUUAGGAUUAAAGUUUUCAUUGAAGUUUAUUCCCUUUUCAUUUUAUCCUCCAAAAUUUUAAGAAUAUUAUAUUUUUAUAAGAUACCAUAUUCUAAUGUAGUUUUGAGUAAGAACAAUUCAAGCAAAAUUUAUAAUAUUUGCCUUCUUAGUUAAGGUGUAAUGAUCUAAUUGGACUUUUUCUUCCAGAAAUGUAGACAUUUGAUUGAUUAAAAAGAAAACUCUACUGAAAAAAAAAA
This is a long non-coding RNA of Nomascus leucogenys (northern white-cheeked gibbon), 3457 nucleotides long. RefSeq lists it as uncharacterized. The transcript is spliced from 6 exons. NCBI's taxonomy places the organism in Eukaryota, Metazoa, Chordata, Mammalia, Primates, Hylobatidae. The record is from RefSeq and is a predicted model, not a curated record.